GGGAGCUUUAUCUCGGNCUGGUCGUGCGCGUUGCUUCCGGAUAUCACCAAACCCCGGCACGAAAAGUGUCAAGGAACAUGCAACCGAACGGCCGGUAUUCGCCUCCCCGGAGACGGUGUGUGCGCGGAUGCUGAGCUGCGAUCUAAAGUCUAAAACGACUCUCGGCAACGGAUAUCUCGGCUCUCGCAUCGAUGAAGAACGUAGCGAAAUGCGAUACUUGGUGUGAAUUGCAGAAUCCCGUGAACCAUCGAGUCUUUGAACGCAAGUUGCGCCCCAAGCCUUCUGGCCGAGGGCACGUCUGCCUGGGUGUCACAAAUCGUCGUCCCCCACUCAUCCUCUAAGGAUUCGGGACGGAAGCUGGUCUCCCGUGUGUUACCGCACGCGGUUGGCCAAAAUCCGAGCCAAGGACGCAGGGAGCGUCCCGACAUGCGGUGGUGAACUCGAUCCACUUUCCUAUCGUCGGCCGCUCCUGUCCGGAAGCUCUAGAUGACCCAAAGUCCUCAAAGCGAC
This 510-nucleotide ribosomal RNA is filed under the name Boechera puberula. RNAcentral describes it as "eukaryotic LSU rRNA". The stretch from base 157 to 312 matches the Rfam family "5.8S ribosomal RNA". The record is from RNAcentral. Lineage: Eukaryota; Viridiplantae; Streptophyta; Magnoliopsida; Brassicales; Brassicaceae.